GUCCCUGUAGCUUAAAGAAAAGCAUAACACUGAAGAUGUUAAGAUGGCCCUACAAACCCAUGGACA
This 66-nucleotide transfer RNA is filed under the name Rallus aquaticus. RNAcentral's name for it is "tRNA-Phe". It matches the Rfam family "tRNA". Rfam says of the family: Transfer RNA (tRNA) molecules are approximately 80 nucleotides in length. Their secondary structure includes four short double-helical elements and three loops (D, anti-codon, and T loops). Lineage: Eukaryota; Metazoa; Chordata; Aves; Gruiformes; Rallidae. The record is from RNAcentral. RNAcentral also lists the same sequence under 1 other name.